GCCUGGGUAGCUCAGUCAGUUAAGCAUCUGGCUUAGGCUCAGGUCAUGAUGUGGUUCUUGGGUUCGAGCCCCACAUCAGGCU
This 82-nucleotide transfer RNA is filed under the name Felis catus (domestic cat). It matches the Rfam family "tRNA". Rfam says of the family: Transfer RNA (tRNA) molecules are approximately 80 nucleotides in length. Their secondary structure includes four short double-helical elements and three loops (D, anti-codon, and T loops). Further hydrogen bonds mediate the characteristic L-shaped molecular structure. tRNAs have two regions of fundamental functional importance: the anti-codon, which is responsible for specific mRNA codon recognition, and the 3' end, to which the tRNAs corresponding amino acid is attached (by aminoacyl-tRNA synthetases). tRNAs cope with the degeneracy of the genetic code in two manners: having more than one tRNA (with a specific anti-codon) for a particular amino acid; and 'wobble' base-pairing, i.e. permitting non-standard base-pairing at the 3rd anti-codon position. Lineage: Eukaryota; Metazoa; Chordata; Mammalia; Carnivora; Felidae. The record is from Rfam by way of RNAcentral.